Molecule: ribosomal RNA, 497 nt
Filed under: uncultured bacterium
Lineage: Bacteria
Description: partial 16S ribosomal RNA
Rfam family: Bacterial small subunit ribosomal RNA
Source: RNAcentral
GAUGAACGCUGGCGGCGUGCCUAAUACAUGCAAGUCGAGCGAACGGACGAGAAGCUUGCUUCUCUGAUGUUAGCGGCGGACGGGUGAGUAACACGUGGAUAACCUACCUAUAAGACUGGGAUAACUUCGGGAAACCGGAGCUAAUACCGGAUAAUAUUUUGAACCGCAUGGUUCAAAAGAGAAAGACGGUCUUGCUGUCACUUAUAGAUGGAUCCGCGCUGCAUUAGCUAGUUGGUAAGGUAACGGCUUACCAAGGCAACGAUGCAUAGCCGACCUGAGAGGGUGAUCGGCCACACUGGAACUGAGACACGGUCCAGACUCCUACGGGAGGCAGCAGUAGGGAAUCUUCCGCAAUGGGCGAAAGCCUGACGGAGCAACGCCGCGUGAGUGAUGAAGGUCUUCGGAUCGUAAAACUCUGUUAUUAUGGAAGAACAUAUGUGUAAGUAACUGUGCACAUCUUGACGGUACCUAAUCAGAAAGCCACGGCUAACUACGUG